GAUGAACGCUGACAGAAUGCUUAACACAUGCAAGUCUUUGGCGAAGCUGUGCUUGCACAGCCUAGCCAAGGCGGACGGGUGAGUAACGCGUAAGGAACUUGCCCUGCAGUCAGGGAUAACAGACGGAAACGACUGAUAAGACCUGGUAAAGUCAGGCGGACUCAUGUCCAGCCUGAUGAAAAGUGAUGCUGCAGGAGAGCCUUGCGUCCUAUUAGCUUGUUGGUGGGGUAACGGCCCACCAAGGCGAUGAUAGGUAGCCGGCCUGAGAGGGUGGACGGCCACAAGGGGACUGAGAUACGGCCCUUACUCCUACGGGAGGAAGCAGUGGGGAAUAUUGGACAAUGGGGGCAACACUGAUCCAGCAAUUCUGUGUGCACGAUGAAGGUUUUCGGAUUGUAAAGUGCUUUCAGCAGGGAAGAAAAAAAUGACGGUACCUGCAGAAGAAGCGACGGCUAAAUACGUG
RNAcentral lists this ribosomal RNA (463 nucleotides) under uncultured bacterium. RNAcentral describes it as "partial 16S ribosomal RNA". It matches the Rfam family "Bacterial small subunit ribosomal RNA", at positions 28 to 507 of the family's 1533-position model. The record is from RNAcentral.